Neurospora crassa OR74A is the source of this 1796-nucleotide ribosomal RNA. It matches the Rfam family "Eukaryotic small subunit ribosomal RNA". The record is from Rfam. NCBI's taxonomy places the organism in Eukaryota, Fungi, Ascomycota, Sordariomycetes, Sordariales, Sordariaceae.
UACUUAAUUGAUUCUACUAGUAAUUAUAUAUUUGUUUUAAAAAUUAAACUAUAUAUAUUUAAAUUUAAGUAAUUAAACUAUAAAAUUACAAAUGGCUUAUUAAAUUAAUUAUAGUUUAUUUAAUAGUAUUUUAUUAUAUGGAUAACUGUAGUAAUUUUAGAGUUAAUAUAUAUUAAAAACCCCGAUUUUGGAAGGGGUAUAUUUAUUAAAUUAAAAACCAAUACCCUUCGGGGUUAAUUAGUAAUUUAUAAUAAUUUUUCAAAUUAUAUAACCUUAUAUUAGCGAUGGUUUAUUUAAAUUUUUACCCUAUUAACUUUCAACGGCUAGGUCUUAAUUAACUAUAGUAAUAAUAGGUAACGGAGGGUUAGGGUUCGACCCCGGAGAAGGAAUUUAAGAAACGGUUACUAUAUUUAAGGAAGGUAGUAGGCGUAUAAAUUACCCAAUCCCGAUAUAGGGAGGUAAUAAUAAUAAAUAUUAAUAUAAGGCUCUUUUGGGUCUUGUAAUUAGAAUAAAUAUAAUUUAAAUCCCUUAAUAAGGAAUAAUUGGAGGGUAAAUCUAGUACUAGUAGCCGCGGUAAUUCUAAUUCUAAUAGUAUAUAUUAAAAUUAUUAAAGUUAAAAAGCUUAUAGUUAAACCUUAGGCUUAGCUUAUCGAUCCGCCUUACUACGUAUAUUAACUAGGUUAGGCCUUUUUUCCUAGAGAACCGUAUACCCUUUACUAAGUAUAUUAGGGAAUUAGGACUUUUACUAUAAAUAAAUUAAAUUACUUAAAGAAAGCCUAUAUUCGAAUAUACUAAUAUAGAAUAAUAGAAUAGAAUAUAUAGUUCUAUUUUAUUAAUUUCUAGGACCGCUAUAAUAAUUAAUAAGGAUAGUCGAGGGUAUUAGUAUUUAAUUAUUAGAAGUAAAAUUUUUAGAUUUAUUAAAGAUUAAUUAUUACGAAAGUAUUUACUAAAAAUAUUUUUAUUAAUUAAGAAUAAAAGUUAGGGGAUCGAAAAUAAUUAAAUACUAUUGUAGUUUUAAUUAUAAAUUAUACCAAUUAGAGAUUAGACGGUAUUAUUUUUUAACCCAUUCGGCACCUUAUAAUAAAUUAAAAUAUUUAGGCUCUUAAGGGAAUAUAAUUGUAAGGCUAAAAUUUAAAGAAAUUAAUAGAAGGGUACUACUAAGGGUAGAGCCUACAGCUUAAUUUAACUCAAUACAGAGAAACUUACUAAGUUUAAAUAUAAUAAAAAUUAAUAAAUUGAAAGCUCUUUCUUAAUUUUAUAGGUAGUAAUACAUAGCCGUUCUUAAUUAGUAAAGUAAUUUAUCUAUUUAAUUAUAAUAACGAAUAAGACUUUAACUUAUUAAAUAGCCUAUAUUACUUUAGUAGUAUAUUAGCUUCUUAGAAGGACUAUUAAUUUAAAUUAAUAAAAGUUUGAAGUAAUAAUAAGUUUGUAAUACCCUUAAAUAUUCUAAGCUGUAUAUACGCUAUAUUAAUACAAUUAGCGAAUAUUCCCUUAGCCGGAAGGUCCGGGUAAUUUUAUUAAAUUGUAUUAUACUAGGGAUAGAGUAUUGUAAUUAUUACUCUUCAACGAAGAAUCCCUAAUAAGUGUAAAUUAUUAAUUUAUAUUAAUUACGUCCCUGCCCUUUAUAUAUAUUACCCGUCGCUAUUACCGAUUAAAUAGUUUAGUAAAGCUUCUAGAUUAAUUUAGGGAGGUCGGUAACAACUACUUAGGGCCGGAAAAUUAUUUAAAUUCGGUUAUUUAGAGGAAGUAAAAAUUAUAAUAAAGUUUCUAUUAGUAAAUUAGCGGAGGGAUUAUUA